UGGCCACAUCAUAUUGAAACACUAGUUCCCAUAUAAUCACCAAAGUUAAACAAUGUUAAGUCUGGUCAGUACCUAGAUGAGUGACCACUUGGAAAUAUCAGGUGCUGUAAG
Molecule: non-coding RNA, 111 nt
Organism: Acanthosepion pharaonis
Lineage: Eukaryota; Metazoa; Mollusca; Cephalopoda; Sepiida; Sepiidae
Source: the annotation of a GenBank genome assembly